RNAcentral lists this ribosomal RNA (461 nucleotides) under uncultured bacterium. Its description in RNAcentral is "SSU rRNA". It matches the Rfam family "Bacterial small subunit ribosomal RNA", at positions 26 to 518 of the family's 1533-position model. The record is from RNAcentral.
AGAAUCAACGCUGGCGGCGUGCCUAACACAUGCAAGUCGAACGAGAAAGGGGUAGCAAUACCCUGAGUAAAGUGGCGCACGGGUGAGUAACACGUGACUAACCUACCCUGGAGUGGGGGAUAACUGAGGGAAACCUUAGCUAAUACCGCAUAAUACCUACGGGUCAAAGGAGCAAUUCGCUUUGGGAGGGGGUCGCGGCCGAUUAGUUAGUUGGCGGGGUAAUGGCCCACCAAGACGAUGAUCGGUAUCCGGCCUGAGAGGGCGCACGGACACACUGGAACUGAAACACGGUCCAGACUCCUACGGGAGGCAGCAGUGGGGAAUUUUGCGCAAUGGGGGAAACCCUGACGCAGCAACGCCGCGUGGAGGAUGAAGUACUUCGGUACGUAAACUCCUUUCGAUCGGGACGAUUAUGACGGUACCGAGAGAAGAAGCCCGGCUAACUUCGCGCCAGCAGCCGC